This 72-nucleotide transfer RNA is filed under the name Camelus bactrianus (Bactrian camel). It matches the Rfam family "tRNA". From Rfam's summary of the family: Transfer RNA (tRNA) molecules are approximately 80 nucleotides in length. Their secondary structure includes four short double-helical elements and three loops (D, anti-codon, and T loops). The record is from Rfam by way of RNAcentral. RNAcentral also lists the same sequence under 2 other names. Lineage: Eukaryota; Metazoa; Chordata; Mammalia; Artiodactyla; Camelidae.
GAGGGUAUAGCUCAGUGGCAGAGUGUGUGCUUGGCAUGCACAAGGUCCUGGGUUCAAUCCUCAGUACCUCCA